CCCUUAGAUGUUCUGGGCCGCACGCGCGCUACACUGACGAAUUCAACGAGCUUAUAACCUUGGCCGAAAGGUCUAGGUAAUCUCCAAAAUUCGUCGUGAUGGGGAUAGAUUAUUGCAAUUAUUAAUCUUGAACGAGGAAUUCCUAGUAAACGCAAGUCAUCAGCUUGCAUUGAUUACGUCCCUGCCCUUUGUACACACCGCCCGUCGCACCUACCGAUUGAAUGACUCGGUGAAAAAUUGGGACUGUGAUUGAAAUUGCUUCAUUGCGAAUUUAAUCAUGGAAACUUUCUUUAACCUAGGCAUUUAGAGGAAGGUGAAGUCGUAACA
This 327-nucleotide ribosomal RNA is filed under the name uncultured eukaryote. RNAcentral's name for it is "partial 18S ribosomal RNA". It matches the Rfam family "Eukaryotic small subunit ribosomal RNA", at positions 1470 to 1796 of the family's 1831-position model. The record is from RNAcentral.